RNAcentral lists this ribosomal RNA (519 nucleotides) under uncultured bacterium. RNAcentral describes it as "bacterial SSU rRNA". It matches the Rfam family "Bacterial small subunit ribosomal RNA", at positions 8 to 524 of the family's 1533-position model. The record is from RNAcentral.
AGAGUUUGAUCCUGGCUCAGGAUGAACGCUGGCGGCGUGCCUAAUACAUGCAAGUCGAACGGGGUGUUUGAGCAAUCGGACACUUAGUGGCGAACGGGUGAGUAACGCGUUGGUGACCUGCCCCAAAGCGGGGGAUAACAGCCUGAAAGGGUUGCUAAUACCGCAUAUGAUGAUGAGAGACUAGAAACUUAUCAUUAAAGGAGAAAUCCACUUUGGGAGGGGCCUGCGUCCCAUCAGCUAGUUGGUAGGGUAAAAGCCUACCAAGGCGAAGACGGGUAGGGGACCUGAGAGGGUGACCCCCCACAAUGGAACUGAAACACGGUCCAUACACCUACGGGUGGCAGCAGUAGGGGAUAUUGCACAAUGGGCGGAAGCCUGAUGCAGCAACGCCGCGUGAGUGAUGAAGGCCCUAUGGGUUGUAAACUGCUUUUGUAUGGGAGCAAUAAGAUCUACGUGUAGAUUGAUGAGAGUACCAUACGAAUAAGCACCGGCUAACUCCGUGCCAGCAGCCGCGGUAAA